This is a long non-coding RNA of Andrographis paniculata, 1152 nucleotides long. RefSeq lists it as uncharacterized. The transcript is spliced from 6 exons. NCBI's taxonomy places the organism in Eukaryota, Viridiplantae, Streptophyta, Magnoliopsida, Lamiales, Acanthaceae. The record is from RefSeq and is a predicted model, not a curated record.
CAGAAGAUUGCUCGGAGCGUCGUCUCCGAAAGCAGCGUAACCCAUACAUCCACACAGUAUGUAGAACACCGUCGUCACUGUUAUGCUAAUCGACGUCGCCUUCUUCAUCGUUUUGUGCUCUGCCGGCGGUGAUUUCACUGUAUCCUAAUGAUGGAGAAAGAGUAAGCGAAGGCAAUGGCUCCUAGAGCCUGUAAGGUCCUCCAUAGCUUCUGGUUCGGAGUAACCAAUCCGGCGUGCGACUCUGUUCCGAUGCUUAUUCCGUUACCUGCAGUUUUGGCGAUACCGAGAGAAAGACCGACGGUGGAGUAGGUGAAGGACAUAACAGCUGCAACAAUGGAAAGCCACCAUACUUGAUCGAAAUCUGGAAUUUGAGAGAAGAGAAUCUCAAUGAUUCCAAACGUUAUCAUAUCUCCGUUGCUAGACAUAUGACAUUUGCUCUUCUUGUGUGUCUUGUGGAAGCAGUUUGAUCGUUUUACUGCACUCAUGCUGACAGAGGCAGCAAUGGUGUAGCCGAUGGCUAUGCCGAACAAAUUGAGGUACUGAAUCAGACCACAUAGCUUCACCUUCCGGCCGCCUGAUCAUCGAGAAUGAAAAUCAUUACUGAGUCCCCUGAUCUGUAACAGAGGGAGAGGAGAUUUGAGGUGUAGAGAUUGACGAAAGCGAAGAGGGCCAUGGCCAAAGGACCAGCAACCCAGCCGAGCUGCGCAACGGCCCAUGCCAACGACAGCACGCCGGAACCGAUCACAGCAGUGAUGAUAUGUGAUGUUGCAGUCCACAAAGUUCCUGCACAGCUCAAAAUAGAUCUGCUUUAAUGGAGGAUGGAUAUUAAUGGGAUCAAGCGAAUUAGAGCAAUACUGCAUGCACAUUGGUUAAUUCUAUGAAUGAUGAUGCUGGGUGACUUGAGGGGUGUGGGAGGAGUCCCCUCAUGUCUGGGGUGAGUGACAAUUGAAGAUCGAUGGCUCAGUGCAUUAAGCCUACACCACCACCACCACUACCACCACUUGGCUACGAUGUUCUUCAACUUGGGUCAUAUUAUUUUAAUAUCUAGGGCGUGUUUAUUUUUUGAGAUAAUUUGAGGUACUAUUUUUUUUAUUUUUUUUUGUGAUAAUAUAAAAAUAAUAAAUUUUUGUAAUAUAUUAAUACUUUUAAUAC